Molecule: ribosomal RNA, 406 nt
Filed under: uncultured bacterium
Lineage: Bacteria
Description: partial 16S ribosomal RNA
Rfam family: Bacterial small subunit ribosomal RNA
Source: RNAcentral
AUUGAACGCUGGCGGCAGGCCUAACACAUGCAAGUCGAGCGAGCGGCGGACGGGUGAGUAAUGUCUGGGGAUCUGCCUGAUAGAGGGGGAUAACUACUGGAAACGGUAGCUAAUACCGCAUACUAUCGGAUGAGCCCAUAUGGGAUUAGCUAGUUGGUGGGGUAAAGGCCAACCAAGGCGACGAUCCCUAGCUGGUCUGAGAGGAUGAUCAGCCACACGGGAACUGAGACACGGUCCAUACUCCUACGGGAGGCAGCAGUGGGGAAUCUUCGGCAAUGGGCGAAAGUCUGACCGAGCAACGCCGCGUGUGUGAAGAAGGUUUUCGGAUCGUAAAGCACUGUUGGUUGGGAAGCGUUAUCUAACCAAUAAGCCCCGGCUAACUCCGUGCCAGCAGCCGCGGUAAUAC